UGGGGGAUAUUGCACAAUGGAGGGAACUCUGAUGCAGCGACGCCGCGUGAGGGAAGACGGUCCUCUGGAUUGUAAACCUCUGUCGGAAGGGACGAAGACGUGACGGUACCUUCCGAGGAAGCUCCGGCUAACUACGUGCCAGCAGCCGCGGUAAUACGUAGGGAGCGAGCGUUGUCCGGAAUUACUGGGUGUAAAGGGAGCGUAGGCGGGAUCGCAAGUUGGAUGUCUAAUCUAUCGGCUCAACUGGUAGUCGCAUUCAAAACUGUGAUUCUUGAGUGGAGUAGAGGCAGGCGGAAUUCCUAGUGUAGCGGUGAAAUGCGUAGAUAUUAGGAGGAACACCAGUGGCGAAGGCGGCCUGCUGGGCUUUUACUGACGCUGAGGCUCGAAAGUGUGGGGAGCAAACA
RNAcentral lists this ribosomal RNA (404 nucleotides) under uncultured bacterium. RNAcentral's name for it is "bacterial SSU rRNA". It matches the Rfam family "Bacterial small subunit ribosomal RNA", at positions 355 to 774 of the family's 1533-position model. The record is from RNAcentral.